Molecule: ribosomal RNA, 252 nt
Filed under: uncultured Cloacibacillus sp.
Lineage: Bacteria; Thermotogati; Synergistota; Synergistia; Synergistales; Synergistaceae
Description: partial 16S ribosomal RNA
Rfam family: Bacterial small subunit ribosomal RNA
Source: RNAcentral
CUAGCCGUAAAUGAUGGAUACUAGGUGUGGGUGUCGCAGGGCAUCCGUGCCGCAGUUAACGCGUUAAGUAUCCCGCCUGGGGACUACGGUCGCAAGACUGAAACUCAAAGGAAUUGACGGGGGCCCGCACAAGCGGUGGAGCACGUGGUUUAAUUCGAUGCAAACCGAAGAACCUUACCUAGGCUUGACAUGCAAGUGGUACUGAAGCGAAAGUGGAAAGACCCUAGCUUGCUAGGGAGCUUGCACAGGUGC